RNAcentral lists this ribosomal RNA (411 nucleotides) under Filifactor villosus. RNAcentral's name for it is "bacterial SSU rRNA". It matches the Rfam family "Bacterial small subunit ribosomal RNA", at positions 9 to 396 of the family's 1533-position model. Lineage: Bacteria; Bacillati; Bacillota; Clostridia; Peptostreptococcales; Filifactoraceae. The record is from RNAcentral.
GAGUUUGAUUCUGGCUCAGGAUGAACGCUGGCGGCGUGCUUAACACAUGCAAGUCGAACGGGCGAAUUAUAUCGGAGGUCUUCGGGCCGAAGAGAUAAUAAGCUAGUGGCGGACGGGUGCGUAACGUGUGGGUAAUCUGCCUUUGUCAUAGGAAUAACUGCUUGAAAAAGUAGCUAAUACCAAAUAACAUAUCGUAUAGGCAUCUAUAAGAUAUCAAAGAGAAAUCGGACAAAGAUGAGCCCGCAUCUGAUUAGCUAGUUGGUAGGGUAAAAGCCUACCAAGGCGACGAUCAGUAGCCGGCCUGAGAGGGUGAACGGCCACAUUGGAACUGAGACACGGUCCAAACUCCUAUCGGGAGGCAGCAGUGGGGAAUAUUGCAUCAACUGGGGGGAAGCCCUGAUGCAGCAACCG